UGCGUAGGUGGUUUCUUAAGUCAGAGGUGAAAGGCUACGGCUCAACCGUAGUAAGCCUUUGAAACUGGGAAACUUGAGUGCAGGAGAGGAGAGUGGAAUUCCUAGUGUAGCGGUGAAAUGCGUAGAUAUUAGGAGGAACACCAGUUGCGAAGGCGGCUCUCUGGACUGUAACUGACACUGAGGCACGAAAGCGUGGGAAGCGAACA
RNAcentral lists this ribosomal RNA (206 nucleotides) under uncultured bacterium. Its description in RNAcentral is "partial 16S ribosomal RNA". It matches the Rfam family "Bacterial small subunit ribosomal RNA", at positions 568 to 774 of the family's 1533-position model. The record is from RNAcentral.